CAGUCGCCGCGGUAAUACGAAGGGGGCUAGCGUUGUUCGGAUUUACUGGGCGUAAAGGGCGCGUAGGCGGGCGAAUAAGUCAGGGGUGAAAUCCCAAGGCUCAACCUUGGAACUGCCUUUGAUACUGUUUGUCUUGAGUCCGGGAGAGGUGAGUGGAACUGCGAGUGUAGAGGUGAAAUUCGUAGAUAUUCGCAAGAACACCAGAGGCGAAGGCGGCUCACUGGCCCGGAACUGACGCUGAGGCGCGAAAGCGUGGGGAGCAAACAGGAUUAGAUACCCCUGUAGUCCCUGUCUCUUAUAC
RNAcentral lists this ribosomal RNA (301 nucleotides) under uncultured bacterium. RNAcentral's name for it is "partial 16S ribosomal RNA". It matches the Rfam family "Bacterial small subunit ribosomal RNA", at positions 509 to 807 of the family's 1533-position model. The record is from RNAcentral.